Molecule: small RNA, 1337 nt
Filed under: Caenorhabditis elegans
Lineage: Eukaryota; Metazoa; Nematoda; Chromadorea; Rhabditida; Rhabditidae
Description: Unclassified non-coding RNA F57C2.7
Source: RNAcentral
AUCGCACUGUGGAGAAGCUUCUUGAAAUGGGUGAUCGUUUCAUUAUUCAAUCCGUUAUCAAUCACGUUGAAUAUCAUCUCCUUCACAACACGAGUAUUGGAAAUGAAAAGUUGAUGUGGAUGGCGGAUAGAUACGGAAUGCCGAAGCUUCUCGUGAAGUCGAUCCAGCAAAUGAAUUCUAUCGAAAAGGCCAAGGCUCUGAAAUCUUCUCCGGACUAUGCGAAAUUGUCGAAAGAGGCAAAGGAAAAGAUUCUCGAUCGACUCAUGGCGCUGAUCUAAAUGCAAUUUGUUUGAUAUGCUCUGAAACAGACUUGUUAUUUUUCCUUGUUGAUUUUUAUUGUUAAAUGUUUUUUGUUGGCUCUUGUUAUUUUAUUUUCGAAUACUUGUCACGUGGUGUUAUAUUACACUUAACAUAUUUUUUCACAGGUAUGUAAACACCGAAAAAAGGCUUCAACGGUGCGUGCAUUUAUGCGAAAUGGUCUCACCUCGCGCCAUCCAUUAAUUUUAAAAUAUUUUUUUCAAAAUGAAUGAGUGGCGAAACCAUUAUUCGCCCGCCUUUGAAGCCGUAGAGAAAAAAAAUACACCGUAAUAUAUAAAUUUCCAGAUAAAAUUAUGCCGAAAUGGCCGAUGAAGUGAUCGAGUAUAAGUUUAUUUGUCCUAAUAUCACUAUCUAUCGCGAAUCUUUGCAACAUCUCUACACAAGUUUUGCCAAAGGAUUAAAAUGGUAAUUUCCAACUGAUUCGGAGCUCAAUCUUACGAAUUUGAUUUACAGCGUCUGGAAAACGAGAAAUACUUCAGGACAAACAUUUUUCUCAUGGGAAUUCGACUUGAAUGAGCUGAAAAAUCAGGGAAUCGAUGGUCUCAUGGGACGAAUAUCCGUCAAUUCUGAUUCAAUCGAUCUACUGAACGUCCAAAUCGAUUUGAAAAACUCGACUGAAAUUAUUGAAAGAGUUGUUCAUUUGUAUCAUAAUAAUUAUCAGUAUGGGUAUAAUUAUAUCCCCAGCGCGACCUUUGAGUAUUCCUUUGUUCCUUAUUACGCCCAAGCCGAAGGAUCCUUAUACGACCAAAUGUUCCUCCCAUCCCACGAGAACGAUGCAAUUUUGGUGAUUGGAAAGAAAAAGCUUCAUGUCUGCAAAGCUGUAAGUUUUGAAAUAAGCAUUUCACGACUGAAUUUUAUUGAUUUCAGUUCCUCUCGUAUCAUUCAAGCUUUUUCCGUGCAAUUUUCUCGUCAACUUUCAAGGAAGGGCAAAUGAGUGAGAUUCCGAUCAAGGAUGUUACCUACAAGGAUUUCGCUCUGAUGCUGAGCACAAUCUACCCAGAUGCUGUUUUCCCAAAUGG